Molecule: ribosomal RNA, 253 nt
Filed under: uncultured bacterium
Lineage: Bacteria
Description: partial 16S ribosomal RNA
Rfam family: Bacterial small subunit ribosomal RNA
Source: RNAcentral
UACAGAGGGUGCAAGCGUUGUUCGGAAUUAUUGGGCGUAAAGCGCGUGUAGGCGGCUUUGCAAGUCGGGUGUGAAAGCCCUCGGCUCAACCGAGGAAGUGCGCCCGAAGCUGCAGAGCUUGAGUACCGGAGAGGAUGGCGGAAUUCCCCAAGUAGAGGUGAAAUUCGUAGAUAUGGGGAGGAACACCGGUGGCGAAGGCGGCCAUCUGGACGGAUACUGACGCUGAGACGCGAAAGCGUGGGGAGCAAACAGG